CCAAUAGCGUAUAUUAAAGUUGUUGCAGUUAAAAAGCUCGUAGUUGAAUUUCGGGGUCUGUCCAUCGGUCGGGCUUCACGGUCCGUACUGGUGAGAUGGGUUCCUACCUUCUGAAUAACCGGCAUGCCAUUCAGUUGGUGCGCCGGGGAAGCAGAGCUAUUACCUUGAAAAAAUUAGAGUGCUUAAAGCAGGCUAUUGCUUGAAUAGAUUAGCAUGGAAUAAUAAAAUAGGACGGCAUGGUUCUAUUUUGUUGGUUUCUAGGAUCACCGUAAUGAUUAAUAGGGAUAGUUGGGGGCAUUAGUAUUCAAUUGUCAGAGGUGAAAUUCUUGGAUUUAUUGAAGACUAACUUCUGCGAAAGCAUUUGCCAAGGAUGUUUUCAUUAAUCAAGAACGAAAGUUAGGGGAUCGAAGACGAUCAGAUACCGUCGUAGUCUUAACCAUAAACUAUGCCGACUAGGGAUCGGACGAUGUUAAUUUUUUAAUGACUCGUUCGGCGCCUUACG
This 502-nucleotide ribosomal RNA is filed under the name uncultured Glomeromycotina. Its description in RNAcentral is "partial small subunit ribosomal RNA". It matches the Rfam family "Eukaryotic small subunit ribosomal RNA", at positions 591 to 1092 of the family's 1831-position model. Lineage: Eukaryota; Fungi; Glomeromycota. The record is from RNAcentral.